GGGAAUCUACCCUUGGGUUCGGAAUAACAGCUAGAAAUGGCUGCUAAUACCGGAUGAUGACGUAAGUCCAAAGAUUUAUCGCCCAGGGAUGAGCCCGCGUAGGAUUAGCUAGUUGGUGGGGUAAAGGCCUACCAAGGCGACGAUCCUUAGCUGGUCUGAGAGGAUGAUCAGCCACACUGGGACUGAGACACGGCCCAGACUCCUACGGGAGGCAGCAGUGGGGAAUAUUGGACAAUGGGCGAAAGCCUGAUCCAGCAAUGCCGCGUGAGUGAUGAAGGCCUUAGGGUUGUAAAGCUCUUUUACCCGGGAUGAUAAUGACAGUACCGGGAGAAUAAGCCCCGGCUAACUCCGUGCCAGCAGCCGCGGUAAUACGGAGGGGGCUAGCGUUAUUCGGAAUUACUGGGCGUAAAGCGCACGUAGGCGGCUUUGUAAGUUAGAGGUGAAAGCCUGGAGCUCAACUCCAGAAUUGCCUUUAAGACUGCAUCGCUUGAAUCCAAGAGAGGUGAGUGGAAUUCCGAGU
Molecule: ribosomal RNA, 520 nt
Filed under: uncultured bacterium
Lineage: Bacteria
Description: bacterial SSU rRNA
Rfam family: Bacterial small subunit ribosomal RNA
Source: RNAcentral